RNAcentral lists this ribosomal RNA (1475 nucleotides) under Candidatus Pelagibacter sp. RNAcentral's name for it is "bacterial SSU rRNA". It matches the Rfam family "Bacterial small subunit ribosomal RNA". Lineage: Bacteria; Pseudomonadati; Pseudomonadota; Alphaproteobacteria; Candidatus Pelagibacterales; Candidatus Pelagibacteraceae. The record is from RNAcentral.
AAACUUGAGAGUUUGAUCAUGGCUCAGAACGUACGCUGGCGGCACGCCUAACACAUGCAAGUCGAACGAAGUAGCAAUACUUAGUGGCAGACGGGUGAGUAACAUGUAGGUAUCUGCCCUUUGGCCUGGAAUAACACGAGGAAACUUGUGCUAAUACCGGAUAAGUCUUUACGGAGAAAGCUUUAUGCACCAUUGGAUGAGCCUGCACUUGAUUAGUUUGUUGGUGGGGUAAUGGCCUACCAAGACUGUGAUCAAUAGCUGAUUUGAGAGGAUGAUCAGCCACAUUGGGACUGAGACACGGCCCAAACUCCUACGGGAGGCAGCAGUGGGGAAUCUUGCACAAUGGAGGAAACUCUGAUGCAGCGAUGCCGCGUGAGUGAAGAAGGCCUUUGGGUUGUAAAGCUCUUUCGUCGGGGAAGAAAAUGACUGUACCCGAAUAAGAAGGUCCGGCUAACUUCGUGCCAGCAGCCGCGGUAAUACGAAGGGACCUAGCGUAGUUCGGAAUUACUGGGCUUAAAGAGUUCGUAGGUGGUUGAAAAAGUUAGUGGUGAAAUCCCAGAGCUUAACUCUGGAACUGCCAUUAAAACUUUUCAGCUAGAGUAUGAUAGAGGAAAGCAGAAUUUCUAGUGUAGAGGUGAAAUUCGUAGAUAUUAGAAAGAAUACCAAUUGCGAAGGCAGCUUUCUGGAUCAUUACUGACACUGAGGAACGAAAGCAUGGGUAGCGAAGAGGAUUAGAUACCCUCGUAGUCCAUGCCGUAAACGAUGUGUGUUAGACGUUGGAAAUUUAUUUUCAGUGUCGCAGGGAAACCGAUAAACACACCGCCUGGGGAGUACGACCGCAAGGUUAAAACUCAAAUGAAUUGACGGGGACCCGCACAAGUAGUGGAGCAUGUGGUUUAAUUCGAAGAUACGCGCAGAACCUUACCAACACUUGACAUGUUCGUCGCGACUCUAAGAGAUUAGAGUUUUCGGUUCGGCCGGACGAAACACAGGUGCUGCAUGGCUGUCGUCAGCUCGUGUCGUGAGAUGUUGGGUUAAGUCCCGCAACGAGCGCAACCCUCACUUUUAGUUGCCAUCAUUAAGUUGGGCACUCUGAAAGAACUGCCAGUGAUAAGCUGGAGGAAGGUGGGGAUGACGUCAAGUCCUCAUGGCCCUUACGUGUUGGGCUACACACGUGCUACAAUGGUAUCUACAACAGGAAGCAAGACUGCGAAGUUAAGCAAAUCCCUAAAAGAUACCUCAGUUCGGAUUGCACUCUGCAACUCGAGUGCAUGAAGCUGGAAUUACUAGUAAUCGUGGAUCAGCGUGCCACGGUGAAUGCGUUCCCGGGUCUUGUACACACCGCCCGUCACACCAUGGGAGUUGGUUCUACCUUAAGGCAAGGUUUAAAACCCUUGACCACGGUAUAGUCAGCGACUGGGGUGAAGUCGUAACAAGGUAGCCGUAGGGGAACCUGCGGCUGGAUUACCUCCUUU